Molecule: ribosomal RNA, 477 nt
Filed under: uncultured bacterium
Lineage: Bacteria
Description: partial 16S ribosomal RNA
Rfam family: Bacterial small subunit ribosomal RNA
Source: RNAcentral
AUUGAACGCUGGCGGCAUGCCUUACACAUGCAAGUCGAACGGUAACAGGUUAAGCUGACGAGUGGCGAACGGGUGAGUAAUGUAUCGGAACGUGCCCAGUCGUGGGGGAUAACUGCUCGAAAGAGCAGCUAAUACCGCAUACGACCUGAGGGUGAAAGCGGGGGAUCGCAAGACCUCGCGCGAUUGGAGCGGCCGAGAUCGGAUUAGGUAGUUGGUGAGGUAAAGGCUCACCAAGCCGACGAUCUGUAGCUGGUCUGAGAGGACGACCAGCCACACUGGGACUGAGACACGGCCCAGACUCCUACGGGAGGCAGCAGUGGGGAAUUUUGGACAAUGGGCGCAAGCCUGAUCCAGCCAUGCCGCGUGCGGGAAGAAGGCCUUCGGGUUGUAAACCGCUUUUGUCAGGGAAGAAAAGGUUCUGGCUAAUACCUGGGACUCAUGACGGUACCUGAAGAAUAAGCACCGGCUAACUACGUG